UGUACACAGCCAUCUUCAUCAGUGCAA
This 27-nucleotide non-coding RNA is filed under the name Homo sapiens (human). The record is from RNAcentral. Lineage: Eukaryota; Metazoa; Chordata; Mammalia; Primates; Hominidae.